GACGAACGCUGGCGGCGUGCUUAACACAUGCAAGUCGAACGGAAAGGCCCUGCUUUUGUGGGGUGCUCGAGUGGCGAACGGGUGAGUAACACGUGAGUAACCUGCCCUUGACUUUGGGAUAACUUCAGGAAACUGGGGCUAAUACCGGAUAGGAGCUCCUGCUGCAUGGUGGUGGUUGGAAAGUUUCGGCGGUUGGGGAUGGACUCGCGGCUUAUCAGCUUGUUGGUGGGGUAGUGGCUUACCAAGGCUUUGACGGGUAGCCGGCCUGGGAGGGUGACCGGCGACAAUGGGCCUACGGUACGGACCAGACGCGUAUGGGAGGCAGCAGGGGGGAGUAUGGCACAACGGGCGGAAGUCUGAUACGGCAGCGCCGGGAGCGGGAUGACGGCCUUCGGGUUGUAAACCGCUUUCGCCUGUGACGAAGCGUGAGUGACGGUAAUGGGUAAAGAAGCACCGGCUAACUACGUG
This 468-nucleotide ribosomal RNA is filed under the name uncultured bacterium. RNAcentral describes it as "partial 16S ribosomal RNA". It matches the Rfam family "Bacterial small subunit ribosomal RNA", at positions 28 to 507 of the family's 1533-position model. The record is from RNAcentral.